ACUCAGAAUAACUCAGUUGAUAGAGCAUGAGACUCUAAAUCUUAGAGUCAUGGGUUCGAGACUCACACUGGGCA
Molecule: non-coding RNA, 74 nt
Organism: Podarcis lilfordi (Lilford's wall lizard)
Lineage: Eukaryota; Metazoa; Chordata; Lepidosauria; Squamata; Lacertidae
Source: the annotation of a GenBank genome assembly